CCGGCUUUAGCUCAGUUGGUAGAGCGGAGGACUGUAAUGAAAUUGUAAUCCUUAGGUCACUAGUUCGAAUCUGGUAAGCCGGA
Molecule: transfer RNA, 83 nt
Organism: Phycomyces blakesleeanus NRRL 1555(-)
Lineage: Eukaryota; Fungi; Mucoromycota; Mucoromycetes; Mucorales; Phycomycetaceae
Rfam family: tRNA
About the family: Transfer RNA (tRNA) molecules are approximately 80 nucleotides in length.
Source: Rfam